CAGCCGCCACGGGAAUACGUAGGGGGCAAGCGUUAUCCGGAAUUACUGGGUGUAAAGGGAGCGUAGACGGUUAAACAAGUCUGAAGUGAAAUGCCGGGGCUCAACCCCGGAGCUGCUUUGGGAACUGUAGAACUGGAGUGUCGGAGGGGUAAGCGGAAUUCCCAGUGUAGCGGUGAAAUGCGUAGAUAUUGGGAGGAACACCGGCGGCGAAGGCGGCUUACUGGACGACAACUGACGUUGAGGCUCGAAGGCGUGGGUAGCAAACAGGAUUAGAUACCCCCGUAGUCCCUGUCUCUUAUAC
This 301-nucleotide ribosomal RNA is filed under the name uncultured bacterium. RNAcentral describes it as "partial 16S ribosomal RNA". It matches the Rfam family "Bacterial small subunit ribosomal RNA", at positions 509 to 807 of the family's 1533-position model. The record is from RNAcentral.